UCCUCCAACCUCUCUGCAUUAAUCGGAAGAAGAAGAAUGAAGAACCAGCAGCUAUAAUGUCAAGCAUUCCGGGGGAGAUGUGCCGUGAAUCAAUUAAUCUGUUUGCAAGAAUUUGGUAUAUGUCAUGGAAACAAUUAGUACCCUUCUGGUAAAGGCGGAAGGUGCAUGUCCUUAGAAAAAAAAAGAAUAUCCUCAUUGAUGCAGACGGGCUUUUCUUUCUGGAGAUUCCUCUGUACUUCUGCCUCCAGAGUUUUCGAAUUGGUGCUGGGUAUAUCUUCUGUGACCAGGGUUAUCAAAUGAAUAUGCAACCUUCAUGCGCUGAAGCAGGUUUUCAUAUUCGGAUUCCACCUACAGUAGACCCAAAGCUAUUAGUAAAGAGAAUUUUUGAUGAAUGAGCGCCACGUUGCAGAAACAUGACAUAUAAGUUCAAGAUGAGUGAAAAUACUAUUGAUAUUGAUUCUCAACUACAGAAGCUUGAAACAUGUCCUCCCACUUAAAUGAAGUGCACCACUCAAGGGAACAUAAGAGAAAUCACAUAUCACUUGAUUUCAUGGUCUAUUUAUUGAGAGAUUUCGAGAUUGCCCAAGAACAAUUGGAAGCUUCUGAAAAGAAUGGGAAACGGCUUGAACAAUUGGAAGCUUCUGCAAAGUAUCAUUUGGAAAACUUAUGUUUUAGUAUGCUACGUGUUAAGUCGAUACAAUGAAGAUAAAAUGUCACAAUUUGGUUAGAGUAAAGGCACUUUUAUGGAAUAUGAAAUAUACACGAAAUGUGAUGUA
Long non-coding RNA from Papaver somniferum (opium poppy), 776 nucleotides. RefSeq lists it as uncharacterized. Lineage: Eukaryota; Viridiplantae; Streptophyta; Magnoliopsida; Ranunculales; Papaveraceae. The transcript is spliced from 4 exons. The record is from RefSeq and is a predicted model, not a curated record.